This 37-nucleotide small RNA is filed under the name Sinorhizobium meliloti 2011. RNAcentral's name for it is "putative ncRNA". The record is from RNAcentral. Lineage: Bacteria; Pseudomonadati; Pseudomonadota; Alphaproteobacteria; Hyphomicrobiales; Rhizobiaceae.
GCCCUGCGUCGACCAGAUAGCGGUUCUGGUAAAGCUU